GACAGAGGGUGCAAACGUUGCUCGGAAUUACUGGGCGUAAAGGGCGCGUAGGCGGUCUUGCAAGUCCUGUGUGAAAUCCCUCGGCUCAACCCGGGAACUGCGUCCGAUACUGGCAGGCUUGAAUCCGGGAGAGGGAUGCGGAAUUCCAGGUGUAGCGGUGAAAUGCGUAGAUAUCUGGAGGAACACCGGUGGCGAAGGCGGCAUCCUGGACCGGCAUUGACGCUGAGGCGCGAAAGCCAGGGGAGCAAACGGG
This 253-nucleotide ribosomal RNA is filed under the name uncultured bacterium. Its description in RNAcentral is "partial 16S ribosomal RNA". It matches the Rfam family "Bacterial small subunit ribosomal RNA", at positions 524 to 776 of the family's 1533-position model. The record is from RNAcentral.